CGGUAAUUCCAGCUCCAAUAGCGUAUACUAAAGUUGUUGCAGUUAAAAAGCUCGUAGUUGGAUUUCUGCGGGGACGGAGCGGCCGGACGCAACUUGCGUCUCGAGCUAGCGCUUUCCCCACAUCCUGCCGCGAACCGUGCUACCAUUAGCUUGGUGGCGCUGGGGAUCGGCUCGAUUACUUUGAGAAAAAUAGAGUGUUCAAAGCAGGCCACACGCCUUGAAUAAGUUAGCAUGGAAUAAUGAUUAAGGACUUCGGUUCUAUUUUGUUGGUGUUCGGGACUGAAGUAAUGAUUGAUAGGGACAGUUGGGGCGGUCUGUAUUCCAAAGCGAGAGGUGAAAUUCUUAGACCUUCGGAAGACAAACAGCUGCGAAAGCGUUCCGCAAGGAUGUUCCCUUUGAUCAAGAACGAAAGUUGGGGGAUCGAAGACGAUCAGAUACCGUCGUAGUCUCAACUAUAAACUAUACCAGCUAGGGAUCGGCCAACGUUUAACUUUAUCGACUUGGUCGGCACCUUAUGAGAAAUCAAAGCAUCUGGGUUCCGGGGGGAGUAUGGUCGCAAGGCUGAAACUUAAAGGAAUUGACGGAAGGGCACCACCAGGCGUGGAGCCUGUGGCUUAAUUUGACUCAACACGGGAAAACUUACCAGGUCCAGACAUAGGAAGGAUUGACAGAUUGAUAGCUCUUUCUUGAUUCUGUGGGUGGUGGUGCAUGGCCGUUUUUAGUCGGUGAAGUGAUUUGUCUGCUUAAUUGCGUUAACGGACGAGACCCCAGCCUGCUAAAUAGCGCGGCCGAGCUUUGCUCGGUGCGAGCUUCUUAGAGGGACCGUGAUGCGCGAUAGCACAAGGAAGUUUGGGGCAACAACAGGUCUGUGAUGCCCUUAGAUGUUCUGGUCCGCACACGGGCUACACUGGCGCCUGCAACGAGCAUAUCAGCUGGCCCGAGAGGGUCUUGGCUAAUCUUUGGAACCGGCGCCGUGCUUGGGAUUGACCAUUGCAAUUGUUGGUCAUGCAACGAGGAAUGCCUUGUAAACGCGAGUCAUCAGCUCGCAUUGAAUACGUCCCUGCCCUUUGUACACACCGCCCGUCGCUCCUACCGAUGAAUGUUCCGAUGAAAUUUUCGGAGAGCGCCGGAGAACGGGGCUCUGCCCUGCAGAACUGGAGGCUCAAAGUCACUUAAAUCUGAACAUUUCGAGGAAGGAGAAGUCGUAACAAGGUAACC
Molecule: ribosomal RNA, 1218 nt
Filed under: uncultured Rhizaria
Lineage: Eukaryota
Description: SSU rRNA
Rfam family: Eukaryotic small subunit ribosomal RNA
Source: RNAcentral